CGGAUCAGUGAUCAUAACUGCUAGUAUAUGAGUCUCAGAUGACGAAUGACAUGCGAAUGAAACUCUGAGGUCCAA
This is a small nucleolar RNA of Mesocricetus auratus (golden hamster), 75 nucleotides long. Lineage: Eukaryota; Metazoa; Chordata; Mammalia; Rodentia; Cricetidae. The record is from Ensembl.